This 253-nucleotide ribosomal RNA is filed under the name uncultured bacterium. RNAcentral describes it as "partial 16S ribosomal RNA". It matches the Rfam family "Bacterial small subunit ribosomal RNA", at positions 524 to 776 of the family's 1533-position model. The record is from RNAcentral.
GACAGAGGGUGCAAACGUUGUUCGGAAUUACUGGGCGUAAAGCGAGUGUAGGCGGUUCGCUAAAUCGGGUGUGAAAGCCCCGGGCUCAACCCGGGAAGUGCACUCGAAACUGGCGGGCUAGAGUAUCGGAGAGGUUGGUGGAAUUCUCGGUGUAGAGGUGAAAUUCGUAGAUAUCGAGAGGAACACCGGUGGCGAAGGCGGCCAACUGGACGAAUACUGACGCUGAGACUCGAAAGCGUGGGGAGCAAACAGG